This 429-nucleotide ribosomal RNA is filed under the name uncultured archaeon. Its description in RNAcentral is "bacterial SSU rRNA". It matches the Rfam family "Archaeal small subunit ribosomal RNA", at positions 474 to 903 of the family's 1478-position model. The record is from RNAcentral.
CACCAGCCCCUCGAGUGGUGGGGAUGAUUAUUUGGCCUAAAGCGUCCGUAGCCGGCCGGGUAAGUUUCCGUUAAAUCCAGCGUCUCAAGCGUUGGACUGCGGGAAAUACUGUCUGGCUAGAGAGUGGGAGAGGUAAGCGGUAUUCUGGGGGUAGGGGCGAAAUCCUUUGAUCCCCGGAGGACCACCAGUGGCGAAGGCUGCUUACUAGAACACGUCUGACGGUCAGGGACGAAAGCUGGGGUAGCGAACCGGAUUAGAUACCCCGGGUAGUCCCAGCCGUAAACGAUGCAUGCUAGGUGUUGGGUUGGCCACGAGCCACCCCGGUGCCGCAGGGAAGCCGUUAAGCAUGCCGCCUGGGAAGUACGAUCGCAGGGUUGAAACUUAAAGGAAUUGGCGGGGGAGCACCACCAGGCGUGAAGCCUGCGGUUU